Molecule: long non-coding RNA, 262 nt
Filed under: Hordeum vulgare
Lineage: Eukaryota; Viridiplantae; Streptophyta; Magnoliopsida; Poales; Poaceae
Description: long non-coding RNA (HVUL_LNC018968)
Source: RNAcentral
AUUGAUAUACCUGCAAGCUUAAAUAAGGAACAUGGUUUUGAAAGAUAUAGCAAGUGUUCACCUGGAUGUCUAUCUCCUGCAUAUCGAUUAGCCAAAACACAAGCAAUAAUACCAUUUGGUAUUUUAAAGGGCACAAUUUUAGUAGGUGGGGGAGGUUUCUCCACCACAAUGGCGUUGGGGCUAUUCCCCACAAGCAACCAACCAAGAGAAGAGUUGUCCAUAGGUAGAAAAGAAACGGAAAUAGGAAAACAAAAACAACACG